This 433-nucleotide ribosomal RNA is filed under the name uncultured bacterium. Its description in RNAcentral is "partial 16S ribosomal RNA". It matches the Rfam family "Bacterial small subunit ribosomal RNA", at positions 29 to 507 of the family's 1533-position model. The record is from RNAcentral.
AACGAACGCUGGCGGCAUGCCUAACACAUGCCAGUCGAACGAGACCUCCGGGACUAGUGGCGCCUGGGGGCGUCACACGUCGGAAGCUUCCCUUAUGGUUGGAAUAACUCUCCGACAGGGGUGCUAACACCGGAUAAUGUCUUCUGACCAAAGAUUUAUUGCCUUUGGAGGGGCGCGAGUUGGAUUCGCUGGUUGGUAGGGUAAAAGCCGACCAAGGCGACGAUCCAUAGCUGGUCAGAGAGGCUGGUCAGCAACACUGGGACGGGGACACGGCCGAGAAUCCUACGGGAGGCAGCAGUGGGGAAUAUUGGACAAUGGGGGAAGGCCUGAUCCAGCAAUGCCGCGUGAGUGAUGAAGGCCUUAGGGUUGUAAAGCUCUUUUACCCGGGAUGAUAAUGACGGUACCGGGAGAAUAAGCUCCGGCUAACUCCGUG